This 497-nucleotide ribosomal RNA is filed under the name uncultured bacterium. RNAcentral describes it as "partial 16S ribosomal RNA". It matches the Rfam family "Bacterial small subunit ribosomal RNA", at positions 28 to 507 of the family's 1533-position model. The record is from RNAcentral.
GAUGAACGCUGGCGGCGUGCCUAAUACAUGCAAGUCGAGCGAACGGACGAGAAGCUUGCUUCUCUGAUGUUAGCGGCGGACGGGUGAGUAACACGUGGAUAACGUACCUAUAAGACUGGGAUAACUUCGGGAAACCGGAGCUAAUACCGGAUGAUAUUUUGAACCGCAUGGUUCAAAAGUGAAAGACGGUCUUGCUGUCACUUAUAGAUGGAUCCGCGCUGCAUUAGCUAGUUGGUAAGGUAACGGCUUACCAAGGCAACGAUGCAUAGCCGACCUGAGAGGGUGAUCGGACACACUGGAACUGAGACACGGUCCAGACUCCUACGGGAGGCAGCAGUAGGGAAUCUUCCGCGAAGGGCGAAAGCCUGACGGAGCAACGCCGCGUGAGUGAUGAAGGUCUUCGGAUCGUAAAACUCUGUUAUUAGGGAAGAACAUAUGUGUAAGUAACUGUGCACAUCUUGACGGUACCUAAUCAGAAAGCCACGGCUAACUACGUG